This 514-nucleotide long non-coding RNA is filed under the name Fukomys damarensis (Damara mole-rat). RNAcentral describes it as "lncRNA (ENSFDAG00000025992.1)". Lineage: Eukaryota; Metazoa; Chordata; Mammalia; Rodentia; Bathyergidae. The record is from RNAcentral.
GCCCAAGACAAACCCAGUCUUUCCCCUCACAGCGUUACCUACUGGGACGGGACAGCCAGACACACUUCUGCACUUGGCUCUCUUUCCUGAAAAGGCAGGCAGGACAACUCUGGUGGAGUCCCAGCACUACCCUGAGAAGAGAUACACAGCAUCAGCCCAGCUGGGCCCCUCCUGGACGCUCAUCUUCCCCAGACAACUCUGCUUUCUGCCUCUGGGCUUUGACUGAAGGCCGCAAUCCCAUGGCCAAAGUUUGGGUUUCUCUGUUCUCCUCAAGGCCAAGUCCCCUGCCUCAGUUGCCUGGCCUAACAGGGAGGACGGCCCAGUCGACAGGUCUAGAACAAAGGCCAGCCCCUCUUCCACACAUCUCUGCUUCGCUAGGAUCUGGGAAGCCACGCACCCGCUGCAACUGUGCCAGGCUGCACCUCAGAGGCCGCGGGAGAUAGGCUGCAGCCAGGAGCUGUUACCAUCAGGUCGCCAGGCUCGGCGCUGCCGGUGUGGACGCGGACGUCGCUGG